GUGAAAUUCUGCUCAGGGUCACAGUAGGCAGUUUUUCCAGUCCCCAGAGAGCAAAUGGGGGAAAACCAACAAAAGCAUGUUGUGCAGCCUCCCUCCAGAGCCCCCGAGCCCACCACUGGCAUUUCCUGCGGCCCCUACCCCUGGUGGGAUGUGAGGGGUGAGGGAUGGAGGGAUGGCCAGAACGCACCCUGCACAGCACUCACCACGGUCCCUGUGGCUCCUGUUUCCACAUCUAGGUACCUGCCGUCUGCCCGCGGAGCUGCUUCUGCUGCCCUCACUGUGGAGACGAGAAACCUCUGCUCUCUUCUCCUGCUGUCCCUUGUGCCUGGAACAGCCUGGCCAAGAGGGGACUCAGGCUCUUUACUGAAUGAGUGAAAAAGCUUGCCGAAGCUCUUCCAAGGCAUCCUCGGGGAUUGAGAUUAAAAUAACUAUGUAGUGGGGCUUCUUGUUUCCAUGCUGAAAGGCCAGGAGCAUGUGUCUGUCUUCCUACAGCUUUCAUUCUCACCUCUCCUACCAAGGAAGGCAGGACCUCGAGGGACGGAAAGGCUCCCACAUCUGCAAGUCCCUGAAAGCUCCUGAAUGGCAAAUUUUCAGUCCUGGAGAGAAGUCCCGUGUUCCCCUGGCAUGCGUGCUGUGGUCCAUGCACACAAAGCAUCUUCCAUGAGCAUAUCAUGUAUGUCAGACCCAGCAUAAAGUUGUGGCAUGUGGGACGCUGCCUCAGCGUGGUUUGAUGAGCAGUGCCAUGUCCGCGCCCAGGAUUCCAACCAAUGAAACACUGGGCCGCCUGCAGUGGAGCGUGCGAACCUAACCACUGGGCCACGGGGCCAGCCCUGACCGCGUGCAAGGUUGAUAUGUCAACAGGCAGAAGCAUCCAUUCUCUACGGAGGGCAGUUGAGCACGUCUAUUGAAGGCCCAGAUGCAUAUGGAUACCGUUGACCCCGUAUUCCACCUUUUUAUCCUGUGUCCU
RNAcentral lists this long non-coding RNA (967 nucleotides) under Equus caballus (horse). RNAcentral's name for it is "lncRNA (ENSECAG00000058226.1)". The record is from RNAcentral. Lineage: Eukaryota; Metazoa; Chordata; Mammalia; Perissodactyla; Equidae.